GAUGAACGCUGGCGGCGUGCCUAAUACAUGCAAGUCGAGCGAACAGAUGAGGAGCUUGCUCCUCUGACGUUAGCGGCGGGCGGGUGAGUAACACGUGGAUAACCGACCUAUAAGACUGGGAUAACUUCGGGAAACCGGAGCUAAUACCGGAUAAUAUAUUGAACCGCAUGGUUCAAUAGUGAAAGACGGUUUUGCUGUCACUUAUAGAUGGAUCCGCGCCGCAUUAGCUAGUUGGUAAGGUAACGGCUUACCAAGGCGACGAUGCGUAGCCGACCUGAGAGGGUGAUCAGCCACACUGGAACUGAGACACGGUCCAGACUCCUACGGGAGGCAGCAGUAGGGAAUAUUCGGCAAUGGGCGAAAGCCUGACGGAGCAACGCCGCGUGAGUGAUGAAGGUCUUCGGAUCGUAAAACUCUGUUAGUAGGGAAGAAGAAAUGUGUAAGUAUCUAUUCCUGUCUUGACGUUACCUAAUGAGAAAGCCCCGGCUAACUACGUG
This 497-nucleotide ribosomal RNA is filed under the name uncultured bacterium. RNAcentral's name for it is "partial 16S ribosomal RNA". It matches the Rfam family "Bacterial small subunit ribosomal RNA", at positions 28 to 507 of the family's 1533-position model. The record is from RNAcentral.